UUCUCGGUUUUCCCUACGCGGGGGCCGUCGACGUGUGGUCUCUUGGUUGUAUUAUCGCCGAGUUGUUUCUAGGCUCUCCACUUUUCUACAGCACCUGUGAAUACGACAUGGCAAGAAAGCACCCGCCACUCCUAAAAACCUUUCUCAAUCCUAAGUGGGCCGACAUAAGGUCACUUCAAUCUCAAACAUUUUUUCCUCCCCACAGUUGAGGAAGGUCGAGCAUAUCCUGGGUCACUUUCCACAAAGACUACUGAACAUUGGAGUCAACACGACGUAUUUUUACAAGAGGGAGCGGAGAUUUCAGUCAUUUCAGUGGAGACUGAAGACGACCAAAGAAUAUGGCUACGUGGCUUGCACCAACAAUUUCCUCAACUCUCUGGAUGACCUUUGUAAGGUCAGACAAGUGGUCCACCUGUCAAAUGAGGACACCACAGCAGAAAUCCAAGACCAAGAGAUCUUUGUGGAUUUGCUGAAGCAGCUGCUCAGACCCGACGCCGGCCAGCGACCGACCCCCAAUCGGAUUCUCCAGCACGCCUUCGUCACUAUGGAUGACCUUGCGCU
Molecule: long non-coding RNA, 561 nt
Organism: Syngnathus typhle (broad-nosed pipefish)
Lineage: Eukaryota; Metazoa; Chordata; Actinopteri; Syngnathiformes; Syngnathidae
Exons: 3
Source: RefSeq, a predicted model, not a curated record